CCUUAGGACAACGGGGGCAAUUGAGCUCCCUCAACGUGACCAUAUUGAUGCCAACUUUACUCUGCUCUUGGGACGUACAGGUCCAGGGUGGAAACACAGCAGACAAAAGUCCCCGUGUCGAAUAGUAGUGGGAUCGCGCCUGUGAAUAGGCAGCGGUUGGUAGCCUGUCCAAUAAAGUUGGACUCGAUCCUUU
This 193-nucleotide small RNA is filed under the name Mytilus galloprovincialis (Mediterranean mussel). The record is from RNAcentral. Lineage: Eukaryota; Metazoa; Mollusca; Bivalvia; Mytilida; Mytilidae.